Molecule: small RNA, 610 nt
Filed under: Pongo abelii (Sumatran orangutan)
Lineage: Eukaryota; Metazoa; Chordata; Mammalia; Primates; Hominidae
Description: retained intron
Source: RNAcentral
AUAAAUUUAAAAAAAUAAAGGCCCAAGACUCUGUAGGUGGGGGAGGAAUCUGCAUCUCCACCAUAAUGGUGUGAGUUGGUCUCCAUCCUGACAUACAAUAACCAGGCCUCAACUUGCCGCCCAGGCUUCCCCCCAAUCCAGGGCCUGGAGGCCACCAAGCCCACCCAGCAGAGUCUAGUGGGCGUCCUGGAGACUGCCAUGAAGCUGGCUAACCAGGAUGACGGCCCAGAGGAUGAAGAGGAUGAGGUGCCUAAGAAGCAGAACAGCCCCGUAGCCCCCACAGCCCAGCCAAAAGCCCCACCCACAAGGGCUCCCCAGUCAGGAUCAGCCCCAGCAGCCAAAGCGCCCCCCAAAGCCACAUCCACCAGAGCCCAGCAGCAGCUGGCCUUCCUAGAGGGCCGCAAGAAGCAGCUCCUGCAGGCCGCACUGCGAGCCAAGCAGAAAAACGACGUGGAGGGCGCCAAGAUGCAUCUGCGCCAGGCCAAGGGACUGGAGCCUAUGCUGGAGGCCUCACGCAAUGGGCUGCCUGUGGACAUCACCAAGGUGCCGCCCGCCCCUGUCAACAAGGACGACUUUGCCCUGGUCCAGCGGCCCGGCCCGGGUCUGUCUC